GACGAACGCUGGCGGCGUGCUUAACACAUGCAAGUCGAACGAUGAAGCCGGAGCUUGCUCUGGUGAAUUAGUGGCGAACGGGUGAGUAACACGUGAGUAACCUGCCCUUGACUCUGGGAUAACUGCUAGAAAUGGUAGCUAAUACCGGAUACGACCCUCGGCGGCAUCGCCAGGGGGUGGAAAGAAUUUCGGUCAAGGAUGGACUCGCGGCCUAUCAGCUAGUUGGUGAGGUAACGGCUCACCAGGGCGACGACGGGUAGCCGGCCUGAGAGGGUGACCGGCCACACUGGGACUGAGACACGGCCCAGACUCCUACGGGAGGCAGCAGUGGGGAAUAUUGCACAAUGGGCGCAAGCCUGAUGCAGCAACGCCGCGUGAGGGAUGACGGCCUUCGGGUUGUAAACCUCUUUAGUAGGGAAGAAGCGAAAGUGACGGUACCUGCAGAAAAAGCACCGGCUAACUACGUGCCAGCCGCCGCAGUAG
This 483-nucleotide ribosomal RNA is filed under the name uncultured bacterium. RNAcentral's name for it is "partial 16S ribosomal RNA". It matches the Rfam family "Bacterial small subunit ribosomal RNA", at positions 28 to 523 of the family's 1533-position model. The record is from RNAcentral.